Molecule: unclassified non-coding RNA, 223 nt
Filed under: uncultured fungus
Lineage: Eukaryota; Fungi
Description: sequence contains ITS1
Source: RNAcentral
CAGAAUGUAACCUUUUUGGUACACUCUUGUCUAUCCCUUUGUUUACCUUACUCUGUUGCUUCCAUGGUGCCAGCCCAAUAUCUUGGCUCCGGACAGGUACUAAACCCACCUGUUUGGAAGUGCCCAUGGGUGGUUCUCCCGGGGAACGCCUGUACCCGGGAGGACCUAAACCUUUAAAAUCUGAAAUUGAGAAACCUGUCUGAAUAUAUAUCAAAUAUAAAUA